CAGGCUGUGGCAGCCCCCACAGGGGCCCACUUUGGGGCAGGCUCUGGGAAGAUCUUACUGGAUGACAUGCAGUGUGUGGGCAGUGAGAGCCAUCUGGGUCAAUGCAUGCGUGGGGACCAGGCCAGGCACAACUGUGGGCACCUGGAGGAUGCCAGUGUCAUCUGCACAGGUGCUGGCAAUUCACCAGGUCUCGCUCCAACCACAGAGCCUGAAGCUGUCACUUCAUCAUACACACCAUCAGGUCAAGCACUGUUAUUAGCUGUGCCCACCACAAAGCCUGCUGUGCU
RNAcentral lists this long non-coding RNA (287 nucleotides) under Pan troglodytes (chimpanzee). RNAcentral describes it as "long non-coding RNA NONPTRT001923". Lineage: Eukaryota; Metazoa; Chordata; Mammalia; Primates; Hominidae. The record is from RNAcentral.